AUGGCCGCUGGCCAGUCUUGGGUGUCUUCCAAGCAAACAACUACUGAGUCUUUUAAUUCUUACCUAAAACUCAGGACAUCAUUAAUAGUUAAACGCCCGAAGCUAAUUUUGACAUCACAGACAUCACAGAGGAAUGAGAUUUCCCAGCAACCCAGCCCUCUCCUCGGCUCACCCCAUCCUGUCCUGAGACUGUCUGUGGUCCCUCUUGUGCAAGCACAUCAGACAGACGUGAGUUCGGAUCCACACUUCAUGAGAGGAAGUUUCUACCUAGCGAAACACGGAGUCACAGAAAACAAGACCAUGGCUGAGCAUGGAUCUGCAGUGGCUUCUGACACAGAGAUCCCAGCUCCAGGGCUGUGGGGAGCAUUGCCUCCUCGCCAUACUCCGGCUUCCCAGGGUGACCACGGUCACUUCUUGGCAACAGUCGUUCUCCAUCACACUCUCCAGAUGAUACGUUUGGCUGCUCCGGCUGUCAUCGCAGCUAGAACCCUGGCAUGUAGAACCAGAGAGACAGACAAAUGGGUUCAGAUCUACACUGCCGCUGCAUUGGGAGCUUAGGCAAGUCACCUGACUGUGCUGUGCCUCAGUUUCCCCAUUUGUAAGACAAAUACUAAAAUGGCAUUAUCCUGUAGUUGUGCAAUAAACCCCCAUCCAAAAAGUGUUUGAGCAGCAACUAGCUGUGUCAUGUCACCAUCCUCCCAGGUUGGUGGGGACCCAGAAGGUCACAUCCUAGAUUGUGGGGACCUAGCUGUGCUCACUAGUGACAAUGUCUUUACUGUGUCAGUUGCUGCUCUGCCAUGUCCUGAGUUUACCUGGACUUGGCUUGUUU
Molecule: long non-coding RNA, 829 nt
Filed under: Cricetulus griseus (Chinese hamster)
Lineage: Eukaryota; Metazoa; Chordata; Mammalia; Rodentia; Cricetidae
Description: lncRNA (ENSCGRG00000026654.1)
Source: RNAcentral